UUAAGUUGUUGCGGUUAAAAGCUCGUAGUUGGGUUUCUGUCGGUGAGCGAAGGUCCGCCCUAGUGGUUGGUACACUUCGCGCCGCCGACAUCUUCCUGGGGAAUGUGUCUGCACUUCACUGUGUGGCGCGGGAACCAGGACGUUUACUUUGAGGAAAUUACAGUGCUUCAAGCAGGCUCACGCUCUCUGAAUACGUUAGCAUGGAAUAAUAGCAUCGGACCUCGAUCCAAAGCUGUUGGUUUCUUGGAUCUGGGUAAAGGUGAAUAGGGAUUGUUGGGGGCAUUCGUAUUUAACUGUCAGAGGUGAAAUUCUUGGAUUUGUUGAAGACGGACUACUGCGAAAGCAUCUGCCAAAGAUGUUCUCAUUGAUCAAGAACGAAAGUUAGGGGAUCGAGGACGAUCAGAUACCGUCCUAGUCUUAACCAUAAACUAUGCCGACUGGAGAUCGGUGGCUGCUAUCAUUAUGGCACCAUCUGCAUCUUGAGAGAAAUCAAAGUCUUUGGGUUCCGGGGGGAGUAUGGUCGCAAGGCUGAAACUUAAAGGAAUUGACGGAAGGGCACCACCAGGAGUGGAGCCUGCGGCUUAAUUUGACUCAACA
RNAcentral lists this ribosomal RNA (597 nucleotides) under uncultured Syndiniales. RNAcentral describes it as "SSU rRNA". It matches the Rfam family "Eukaryotic small subunit ribosomal RNA", at positions 605 to 1205 of the family's 1831-position model. Lineage: Eukaryota; Dinophyceae; Syndiniales. The record is from RNAcentral.